UUGGGGCAAGGGGCUGCACGGGGGAGGUUUAGGAGAAGGGAGAUUUAGGGGCAGGGAGGAGAGGAAGGGAGGUUUAGGGCUAGGGAGGCAUUUGUAGGGGCAGUGUCUGGAGAGGAAGGUUUAGAGGAAGAGGGUGGUGGAAGGUGUGUGUGUGGAUGGGGCAGGGAUGGCUCAGGGGAUUUAGGGGCAGGGGUUGCAGGAAGUGCAAAUAGGGCAGGGAAUGGUGAAGGGAGCUGGGGAGUGAGAUUUAGGGAAGUGGCUCAGGCCAGGGGGUGGCAGAGAGUGUGUGUGGAUAGGGACAGGGGACUGUGGUGAGAUUGAGGGGCAAGAGGCUGCAGAGGAUGGGUUUAGGGGCAGGAGGUGGCAGGCCAGAAGAUUUAGGGACAGGGAAUGACUGGGGGCAUUAGGGGCAGGGAGUGGCAGAGGGGGAUUGGGAUCAGGGAAUGGUGGAGGGCAAGGCUGUGGAUAGGGUGGAGGGUGGGGUACCAUGGGGCAAAGCCAUCUCAUUGUCUUGGAGAAAUUCUCUGGCCCCUUGCCUUCCCAAUGGAGAGGGCAGCACAGCCCCCACCAGGGCCAGGAAUAAACGUGUCCUUGUAGAAAAAGCAAUCCUCCUCUUCCAGGCAGUGGGAAUGUGUGCUCCCUGCUCGUGUCCUGGAACCCCCUGCACCCCAACAGCCCCUUGACCCCGAGAUCCAGCAGGAGCAGUGGCUCAGUGCCAGCAUCCAGGGUCCCCAGGGCAAAAGGGACUCUUCAACAGAAUCCAUUUUUAGGCCAUUUCAGGGUUAAUAAGGUUUCUCCAUUGCCAGGAUUACAGGAAUUGAACGCUCUCCACAAUUUUAUUUUAAUUCUAACUAAAUAAUAUGGCUAUAGGGAGCAGCGAAGGAAUGUUAAGGGGAGGGAGGAGAAAGGGGGAGAUGCUGAAGUCAGGUCAUUCUCAAGACUUCGGGUCUGUGAGGUCCACUGACUCAUCAGAGAGAGGAAUGUGGCACGGAUGGAUGCUGUGCACAGCAGUGAAUCUCAGGUCAGCUCCCUCAAAUUCGUCCGAUGGGGACUAAGGCUGAAAAUAUUCCUAAACUCAUUUUCUUUUUUCCUCUGGAGGGAGAUAAGAGUAAACAUGAAUCAUUCUUCUAAAAGUUUGAAAAGCAUUUUGUUCCAAGAAGAAAUAUGUGAUUUUUUUCCUUCUUCUUCUUCUUACAGUAACAAGUUCACAGAAAACUUCAGGAGGCUUUUACAAAGGCUUGUAAGCACUUUCAAGCUGGAGACUGUUUUUAUAUACAUACAGCACUUGCGUAACAAGGUCUCAACAGUGAAUGGGAUUCCAGGGUGCAGUUGCAAUAAAGUGAUUAAUAGUAUCAUUCAUGGUAUCAUACCUCAUUCAUAGGUUUCCUGUAAGUUAAGAGGAAUACAUUGGCAGGAACACAGUGGUUGUGACUUUAAACGCGAUACUCUUGGGGGGAAAAGUUACAGCUAACACAUGCACUGAAGGGCAGUGCAAUUAGUGAAGCUAUGUAAAAGGCUCAAGAAAAUAAUUUUUAGAGCAAAAGCCCACAAAGAUGAAGUUCUGAGCUAGUUCUAUGGCACAGAAAUAGCAAGGUGGAUAUUGCCACACAGCUGGUGAAACCAAGAACAGGAAAUAAGAUGUGUCUGUCAAAGGGAUGGGUCAGGGAUGAUCACUGUUUAUUCAGGAACACACAAGUAGGGUUUGGGUUUGUCGCUUCUUAAUCUGCACACAGUAAGGACUGAUUUUGUCACCAAAAUGUUUGCCACCAAAAUGUUUGUCACCUGCUUGUGGCAAAAAUCACUGAGAAGGCCAGGCAAGAUGCAAAAGGGAACAGAAAGCAGUUGUCAAAGGAGAAGCAAAUGUCCUGGCUGCGGGCUGCAGCAGUCAGGAUGCUUUUGGAGCCUCAAGAGAAGUGACAAAUAAUGGGUCAAUAUUUCCUAUAAAGCUGCUUAUUUCAUUUGAAGGCAAAUAAUGAGUCAAUAUUUCUGUUUAUUUCAUUUGGGGAAUAAGUUGUUAAACAGCUACCAUGUGGCUGAAGUAUGGAGAAAUAUGUGGGGUGAUAAAAUACGACCUAGUGUUUCACUGUACCAGCAUCCCCAUGAUCAGCUAAAACGAGACAUUUAGCUGGGUCCAAGAAAACAUCAGCCCUCGGGAGCAGGCGGGGUGAGUAACGCAGGAUCGCUCGGGCUGCGUCCCUGCCCAGGCUCAGGGCGCUCCCUGGCCAGCUCUGCUCCUAUUUUUAAUCCUCGCUGUGCUAUGAAAAGCUCCGUUUCACAGCACCUGAAUGGCUGCUCUGCAGGCAGGGACUCGGCAGCGCGUUUAUCACGCGCCUGUCAUCGCUUUUGAGGAAACGGGCCCAGGGCGUUUCGGAUGUUGUCCUUAAAGCCACCCGGUGGGACAGGCACAGCCUGGCCUUCCUGCACCAGGGCAGCUCCUGCUGCGUGGCACAGGCAAACCGAUCCACCCACCAGAGCUGGACCUCGGGGGAUUUUUGCCCAGGGGUUUAUGACACCCUGAAGUUUCAUUGAUUAAACUCCUUCCCAUCUUGUUUGCGGCGUUUCACGGGGAGGUGGUUACCCAGCCGAAAAGCUAAAAUGUUUUCCCUUCUUGCAACACAAAAGCCCAGGAGUGAGUAUUGUCACUGGAGAUAAUGUUACAGCCUUGGCAAGAUGACACUUUAAAACUUCAUCAGCCUUCCAAGAAUUUCGGAAAUAGCGGUGGAUAAAGGCAGCAAGUGCUAAGAGCAGGCAGUGCUUGCACGAAGAGCCCUUACCAGCAGCGCUUUCGAGAGCUGAUUUUUGUUUUCACUUAUCGUUAGAGCUGCACAGCUCAGACUGCUUUUAAAUAAUUAUACUUAACAGUUAAAAAACUCUCCUGUGCUAAAAUAAAUUUUAGCUGAGGUGGUUUAUGCUUUGCAGCCUCAUAUGACACUCAGUCUUUCUCGUGUGACUCCUGUAACAAGUCAAAUUCAUGUAUUUUGAUACCGCGCACGUGAUUAAGACACUUGGAUCACUUAAGCCUGCACAAAACUGCAGUGCUCGCAUGUCAUUUAUCUUAAAAUCCUAUUGUAGCGCUCCCGAAGUGUAAUUUCUUCAGUGAAUGGAAAUUUAUACUGACAGAGGUGUUAUAAAACAUGGAAAAUACUGGGAGGAGAGGACCCAGCAUUUUCUUUAUCUCUUCAAGUGUUCACUAACGGGGAUUUAUUUUUCAGCUCAGCGUUGGUUCACUGCGGGUUACAGAGCUCUGGUGCAAUUAAAGGGACCCAUUUCCAGACUUCUUAAGCAAUACUCACAUUACUUGCAACAGGUGGGAACUGUGUGCUGUGGCCUCAAGGCAGCAAACUGAUUCACAGGCUUCACUUUCCACAUUGGUCCCUAAAGCUACUUGCAGAAAAUCACCCAGCCUAAAGAAACUCCUGGGAUCCCAGCCUCUACCUCCCCGUUUUAAAAUGCAUGGGUCACCGUGCCAAAGGACUGCCUGAUGUUUGAAGUUCCUUUCAGUUGCCACUGAAAUCAUUGGAAUUCAGUUCUCCAGCGUUUGGGAAGUCCUGCCACAAUAGCAAUCCCCUGUUUGUAAUCAAGAGGAUUGCAAGAGCAAUCAAAUGCAUAUUGAGCUGAUGUGCAGCUCCCAGAAUUGUGGGGGCACAGAAUCAAGCUGAGAAGUACGUGUGCUAUAACUGGAGAAGCUGGUUAUUCUAAAGGAUUGAAAAUCAAGCUUUUCUUUCACAAGGAGAUGCUCACGUGAGGAAUAUCACAGGUUAUAUUUAGUGUUACAGAAACACAAGGGAAAUCUCAUUAGAGCCCAACGCCAAUGAUCAGUUAUAAAGGGAACAGGAGCAAUUUGUAAGCCCUGAAAAAAAUAGUGUGUCUGUGUUCUGCCCUGUCCUCACUGUCUGCUGCUGCUCAGCUUUCCUGAGAGAGGGGUCUGUGCCUGCCUGCUCAGUUAGCCCUGAUACAUCACGUUUUAUUUGCUGUGAGACUUGAGCAAUGAGCAGCAAACACUCCUGUUCCUACUUUAAACACAUGGAAACUGCAGAACAGAGAAAUAAAAUUACUUGCGCAGAGUCACAGAGCAAUUUCAUGGCAGGGCUCAGACCAGAGUCCAGCUCCCUUGCUCCCAAACCCAUGUGCCAGCCUUUCUCUUCUUUGACCCUUAAUUUUAAUCACCUUCCAAUAAAUUCUCCUGGCCCCUUCCAGUUGACUUCCAUGGGAGUAAUGCCAGGUAUCAAAUGAAGUCACCCAGAAUAUCCACGCAAAAGAAGGCAGUAUUAGAUGCAAAGAAAGAACUGAUGGAAGGGGAAAAGCAAAUUUUACAAAAAAAAAAGAAUAAAAAGGAAUAAGUUCUAGUGCCAGUUCCAUAAUAUCAUUCCCCUUUUAAUUUGUGCCUGAUCAAAAUUUAAAAAAAAAAAUAGAUUGCUAAUAUUAAUAAGUGAAAUGAAUCUUGAAUUUUAUAAUAGCGGAGGAAAUGAAAGGACCAAAGUAAUAUUGUGUUGUUAACUGAGAUUUUAAUAAUGAUUCUGUCCUCAGUUGGUGCAUUUAUUCCACAGAAAGUAAAUCAUUAAUGAAGAGGAGGGGAAAACAGUUUUGUGGUGAUGGAUUUUUGAAAGAAAAGUUUAAUUUUGCUUAACUUGUAGAAACUCUGAAAUAUGCUUGGAGCACUAAACCUAAACUACCACCACCUCAAAAAUGGUUUGUAGAGGUGGAAUUCAGCCAAAGGGCUGUCAGUGCCUGCGGUAGGAUGGAGAGAUGUCCAAGGCUCCAUUCCAGGAGAGCUGAGGUGAGUGAAGAGGUGGCUUAGAGAUGUUGGGGCUUAUCCUACAUUUUCUGUGGAGUUUUGCAAGAUCUGCUUCCACCAUGCCCUCUGCAGUGGGGAGGGUGGACUCGAACCCCUCUCAGUUCUGUGAGGGUAUUUGACUUCCCAGGUGAAGGAAAGUGCCCACCAAGGCUGAUGUGGCCACUGCCCACCACUACCUUCAACCACAUCCAAGCAGACCUCAAAAAAAGGCUCCCUGGAGCAGCAGCCCAUUUCACACUGAACCCACUGGUUUGGAAUGUCGAGCACAGGGAGGUUCAUGGUCACACAAUGGUGGAGAAGAAAAACGUCUCUGGAGCUGAGAUUUGCAGCCUAAGAAAAGCAAACACAGAACAUACAUCCCUGUGUGUGUGUGAAGGAGAUGGGGAAAAUGCACAAAUCCCCUGAUUCCUUAAUGAGCACAGCACCCCGACGAUGAAUGUAGAAAUUUGCAAAUUAAACCACAUUUCUGUAUCUAAAUUAUCAAAUCAAUAAAGAGAUGUAAACAUUAAACAACAUUAUAUGAGAGCCUGGAGUGUCACCACAAAAAAUUAAGACUAUGUAAUUAAAAGUAAAAUGCAAUUUAUUUUUAUAUUGUUCUUCAUUCAAAUCAACAAAUCUUAUUACUUACCCAAAAAUGUAAAGCAGGCUGCAAACUAAUUCAAAAGAUGAAGACAAAGUGGUUAUUGAAAAAACUAUGUUUCUUGUUCCCUUACAUCUGGCAACAGUCAUGAUUUAAUAUUUUAACUACUGUAAUAGGUUAUACUGCCAAAGAAAAGUGCAUUAAUUACUAUGGGAAACCUAAAGAAAUCUAAUUAAGAACAAUAAAAUCACUCUUAUUGACUGGGAAAAAUAAAACUACGUAAAGGGAAAUGAGGGAUGAAAAAACUGACAACACACAAAUACUAAUAAAUGUCUGCACAGGGUAGGAAACACACUUGUGCUGUUACUGGGGGUGUGGAUUUGAAGUCUGGCUGGAGAUCACAGUUUGGCUGAAGCUCUUCUCUCACCCACUGGAAGCAGCUUCUAAUUAGCUGCAGCUCAGGGAGUUGAGUUUGCUCCGAAUGCAGCCCAACAUGUCCAUGCAGAGCCAGUCCCACCGGCUGUGUCUGAAAAAACACACUAAUGUAGGAGAUGAAGCUGCAUUUCUGGGUGUAGUGUGGAGAAAUGGAAUCAUUAUCUCAAUGGGUGCCAUCCUUCCUGCAAAGUCAGAGAGGACACGUGUGAGGAAGCAGCCAUGUGUCCCAAAUACUCAACGUGUCCUGCCUGGGGACGCCACGGGGGAAAUCACCACAGGCAAAUGGGAAUCCAUCUCUCAACCAGCCACAGCCCUUUGAAGUCAUGUAAAAGGAGCCUUUCUGUGUGAAAUAUCCACCACCUUGUUUGCUCAGCCCCAGCUAAAGCCAUCUGUUGGCUUUACCAUAAGGAAGGACUUGCCUCCCUCUCCAUGCAUUCACGGGAUCCCCAGGCAUGCAGGGCUGCUUUGGGAGCAGGUGCAUCUUGUAUCGGCCAGAAGCAGCAGCCAAACGUGUUAGGAGGUGUUUGUAUUUUCCAGAUGUGAAACUAGAUGGGACUGUCUGGUUUUGUCAUUGUGGGGACUGGA
Molecule: long non-coding RNA, 6395 nt
Organism: Motacilla alba alba
Lineage: Eukaryota; Metazoa; Chordata; Aves; Passeriformes; Motacillidae
Exons: 3
Source: RefSeq, a predicted model, not a curated record